UCGGGAAUUUUGGGCAAUGGGCGAAAGCCUGACCCAGCAACGCCGCGUGAGUGAUGAAGGCCCUAGGGUUGUAAAGCUCUUUUGUGCGGGAAGAUAAUGACGGUACCGCAAGAAUAAGCCCCGGCUAACUUCGUGCCAGCAGCCGCGGUAAUACGAAGGGGGCUAGCGUUGCUCGGAAUCACUGGGCGUAAAGGGUGCGUAGGCGGGUUUCUAAGUCAGAGGUGAAAGCCUGGAGCUCAACUCCAGAACUGCCUUUGAUACUGGAAGUAUUGAGUGCGGGAGAGGUGAGUGGAACUGCGAGUGUAGAGGUGAAAUUCGUAGAUAUUCGCAAGAACACCAGUGGCGAAGGCGGCUCACUGGCCCGAUACUGACGCUGAGGCACGAAAGCGUGG
Molecule: ribosomal RNA, 392 nt
Filed under: uncultured bacterium
Lineage: Bacteria
Description: bacterial SSU rRNA
Rfam family: Bacterial small subunit ribosomal RNA
Source: RNAcentral